Molecule: long non-coding RNA, 1309 nt
Organism: Anguilla anguilla (European eel)
Lineage: Eukaryota; Metazoa; Chordata; Actinopteri; Anguilliformes; Anguillidae
Exons: 4
Source: RefSeq, a predicted model, not a curated record
AGCAACACGAUCUGUUGAAAAAGAAUAGCCAAUGCAAAAAGUAAACGUAUAAUAGUUUUGGAAUACAUUUCACAUGUUAUAGAUGGACUCGUUAUUUUUUUUAUUCUAAAAGUAUUGUUUUAUCAUUGAACUAAAGAAUAAUGUAUUUUUAUUAUUUUGUAACGUAGGCUAAAAUGCGAUAAUACGGAGCGGACCAACAGAAUAUUAGCAGUGACUAGGCUACACUAACACAACAUGGUAAACACAAAGUGUUGCCUUUAUUUUCUUACAACAGUUCAGAUGUUAGUUGAAAACAGUCCGUUGUCAUAUGGCCACUUAAUUGUCGUAAUUUAUUCAACAGUAUAGGACAAUACAAAUAAGGUUAAUAGGCCUAUAAUAUAAGCCUUAAAUAUGUUUUUUUGUUCGUUGUAGGCCUAGCAUUAAGAUUAGGCGAUUAUCCUUUCGGGAUUCCGAUCCAGUACAAUACGAUAUUGACUAGAAAAGCUACUUAAAUUUUUCCAAUUGGCCUAUUUAUAAUUUCCCAGAAGCUUUUUCUCGUGGUGGCCUUUUAAACUAAAAUUAUAGACAGACUAUCCACGUAACCCGUGUCCAUGCGCAAGAACUAUGUAGCCAAUGUAUUCCGUAAUAUUACUGACUUUCCAACACCGCAUCACCGUCAUUGGCUUCUCAUAUUUUGAAACCGAAAAUGCGAAAAUAGUUUUUCUUUCAAGUGUAUUCAUUUCGGAAAACUAAAAGAUCAGGAACUCGUGAGUAACUCAGCGGCUGCUAGCAAUUCGGCUCGAUAUGCAUUAUGCAUAGCCGGGAAAGGAAAGGUAAUGACGUUGCAAACUGCACACGUGACUCAGCGCUAGCUGCUCCCAGAGACUGUAAGAAAAAAAAAAAAGCUGCUCCACUGAACUGCGACUGGAGUUUCAUCUAGUUUACAUGACGGGAGAUCGACGGGGCCAGUUUACGACCUGAAAGCGAUUUGUUUUCUUAUUUUAAAACGUUGAAAGAAAAGUUCACUUAUGGCAAAUGCCACAAAAACAGGAUUUGGUCAAAGUGAGAACACGGGAUGCGUGACGCAUACCGGUGGAUGCCAUUGUGGGGCAGUCCGUUUCGAGGUGUGGAGUUCGCCUGAUCUACACGUCUUUAAUUGCAACUGCAGCAUUUGCACUAAGAAACAGAACCGCCAUUUCAUUGUACCAAAACGUCAGUUCACUCUUUUGCAGGCGUGGCACCGCACUGCUUGGACCCGGGCACUGUGAGGAGCGUGAGGGUGGAGGACUUCUGUGGUGAGAAGUGGGAGGAGAGUAUGGAGGCACACCAG